CAGUCGCCGCGGUAAAACGUAGGGUGCAAGCGUUAAUCGGAAUUACUGGGCGUAAAGCGUGCGCAGGCGGUUUGUUAAGACAGGUGUGAAAUCCCCGGGCUCAACCUGGGAACUGCAUUUGUGACUGGCAAGCUAGAGUGUGGCAGAGGGGGGUGGAAUUCCGCGUGUAGCAGUGAAAUGCGUGGAUAUGCGGAGGAACACCGAUGGCGAAGGCAAUCCCCUGGACCUGUACUGACGCUCAUGCACGAAAGCGUGGGGAGCAAACAGGAUUAGAUACCCCAGUAGUCCCUGUCUCUUAUAC
RNAcentral lists this ribosomal RNA (301 nucleotides) under uncultured bacterium. Its description in RNAcentral is "partial 16S ribosomal RNA". It matches the Rfam family "Bacterial small subunit ribosomal RNA", at positions 509 to 807 of the family's 1533-position model. The record is from RNAcentral.